RNAcentral lists this ribosomal RNA (372 nucleotides) under uncultured bacterium. Its description in RNAcentral is "bacterial SSU rRNA". It matches the Rfam family "Bacterial small subunit ribosomal RNA", at positions 527 to 896 of the family's 1533-position model. The record is from RNAcentral.
GUAGGGUGUGAGCGUUGUCCGGAUUUAUUGGGCGUAAAGGGCUCGUAGGUGGUUGAUCGCGUCGGAAGUGUAAUCUUGGGGCUUAACCCUGAGCGUGCUUUCGAUACGGGUUGGCUUGAGGAAGGUAGGGGAGAAUGGAAUUCCUGGUGGAGCGGUGGAAUGCGCAGAUAUCAGGAGGAACACCAGUGGCGAAGGCGGUUCUCUGGGCCUUUCCUGACGCUGAGGAGCGAAAGCGUGGGGAGCGAACAGGCUUAGAUACCCUGGUAGUCCACGCUGUAAACGGUGGGUACUAGGUGUGGGGUCCAUUCCACGGGUUCCGUGCCGUAGCUAACGCUUUAAGUACCCCGCCUGGGGAGUACGGCCGCAAGGCUA